CCCGUCACCGCAUGGUGGUGGGUGGAAAGAUUUUUUGGUUUUGGAUGGACUCGCGGCCUAUCAGCUUGUUGGUGAGGUAAUGGCUCACCAAGGCGACGACGGGUAGCCGGCCUGAGAGGGUGACCGGCCACACUGGGACUGAGACACGGCCCAGACUCCUACGGGAGGCAGCAGUGGGGAAUAUUGCACAAUGGGCGCAAGCCUGAUGCAGCGACGCCGCGUGAGGGAUGAAGGCCUUCGGGUUGUAAACCUCUUUCAGUAGGGAAGAAGCGAAAGUGACGGUACCUGCAGAAGAAGCGCCGGCUAACUACGUGCCAGCAGCCGCGGUAAUACGUAGGGCGCAAGCGUUAUCCGGAAUUAUUGGGCGUAAAGAGCUCGUAGGCGGUUUGUCGCGUCUGCCGUGAAAGUCCGGGGCUCAACUCCGGAUCUGCGGUGGGUACGGGCAGACUAGAGUGAUGUAGGGGAGACUGGAAUUCCUGGUGUAGCGGUGAAAUGCGCAGAUAUCAGGAGGAACACCGAUGGCGAAGGCAGGUCUCUGGGCAUUAACUGACGCUGAGGAGCGAAAGCAUGGGGAGCGAACAGGAUUAGAUACCCUGGUAGUCCAUGCCGUAAACGUUGGGCACUAGGUGUGGGGGACAUUCCACGUUUUCCGCGCCGUAGCUAACGCAUUAAGUGCCCCGCCUGGGGAGUAC
This 692-nucleotide ribosomal RNA is filed under the name Actinomycetales bacterium 26-11PB. RNAcentral's name for it is "bacterial SSU rRNA". It matches the Rfam family "Bacterial small subunit ribosomal RNA", at positions 179 to 883 of the family's 1533-position model. The record is from RNAcentral. Lineage: Bacteria; Bacillati; Actinomycetota; Actinomycetes; Actinomycetales.